This 51-nucleotide ribosomal RNA is filed under the name Paraphoma sp. RNAcentral describes it as "partial 28S ribosomal RNA". Lineage: Eukaryota; Fungi; Ascomycota; Dothideomycetes; Pleosporales; Phaeosphaeriaceae. The record is from RNAcentral.
UUUUGACCUCAGAUCAUGAAGGGAUACCCGCUGAACUUAAGCAUAUCAAUA